This 313-nucleotide long non-coding RNA is filed under the name Actinidia chinensis (golden kiwifruit). Its description in RNAcentral is "long non-coding RNA (ACHI_LNC000581)". Lineage: Eukaryota; Viridiplantae; Streptophyta; Magnoliopsida; Ericales; Actinidiaceae. The record is from RNAcentral.
CCAUAAGCAUAAUUAUAAGAAGUAGAUCUGUAAGCCUAAAUAAAUUAUGGAAGAAAAAUAAGAUCAAUGAAAUAUCUCAUCAUUCCCUUUGCAUUUAGGAGAAUGUGUCAGCAUCCUAUAAAACUCAAAAAUCAUAGCAUUUAGCUGCACUAGUAUCAUGGUGUUCAACACUAUAAAUGGGAAAUCACCAAACUUUCCUUUAGCAUCACUGAAUGUUCAAAAGCUUCAGUACAGAAUAAAAAAAGAAAUAUACAAGGGAGAGAAUCACCUGCUGUUUGCACUCUCAAUUGUGAAGUUAUUGGCAACGAUAUUA